CCUACGGGAGGCAGCAGUGGGGGAUAUUGCACAAUGGGGGGAACCCUGAUGCAGCGACGCCGCGUGGGUGAAGAAGCGCCUCGGCGCUUAAAGCCCUGUCAGCAGGGAAGAAAAGGACGGUACCUGAAGAAGAAGCCCCGGCGAACUACGUGCCAGCAGCCGCGGUAAUACGUAGGGGGCAAGCGUUAUCCGGAUUUACUGGGUGUAAAGGGGUCGCAGACGGCGAUGCAAGCCAGGAGUGAAAGCCCGGGGACCAACCCCGGGACUGCUCUUGGAACUGCGUUGCUGGAGUGCAGGAGGGGCAGGCGGAAUUCCUGGUGUAGCGGUGAAAUGCGUAGAUAUCAGGAGGAACACCGGUGGCGAAGGCGGCCUGCUGGACUGCAACUGACGUUGAGGCCCGAAAGCGUGGGGAGCAAACAGGAUUAGAUACCCUGGUAGUC
This 440-nucleotide ribosomal RNA is filed under the name uncultured bacterium. Its description in RNAcentral is "partial 16S ribosomal RNA". It matches the Rfam family "Bacterial small subunit ribosomal RNA", at positions 338 to 795 of the family's 1533-position model. The record is from RNAcentral.